ACCGGAACUGGUUCGGUCAAAACCAGACAAAAAACGAUUAAAACCGGAACCGACUUCAAACAGGACCGAAAUUGUCUUUCUGUGGUUUGGUUCAUAUUCAUAUUUUUCAGGAACCGUGAACCGGCGGUUUCGAACCGGAUUGAAUCGACGAUUUUAAACCGGAUUCAACCGGCGAUUUAAAUAGAAAAAAAUUCAAUAAAUAUGUUAC
Molecule: unclassified non-coding RNA, 208 nt
Filed under: Hevea brasiliensis (rubber tree)
Lineage: Eukaryota; Viridiplantae; Streptophyta; Magnoliopsida; Malpighiales; Euphorbiaceae
Source: RNAcentral